RNAcentral lists this ribosomal RNA (569 nucleotides) under uncultured Gammaproteobacteria bacterium. RNAcentral's name for it is "bacterial SSU rRNA". It matches the Rfam family "Bacterial small subunit ribosomal RNA", at positions 812 to 1381 of the family's 1533-position model. The record is from RNAcentral. Lineage: Bacteria; Pseudomonadati; Pseudomonadota; Gammaproteobacteria.
UCGAUUUGGAGUUUGUUGCCUAGAGUGAUGGGCUCCGAAGCUAACGCGAUAAAUCGACCGCCUGGGGAGUACGGCCGCAAGGUUAAAACUCAAAUGAAUUGACGGGGGCCCGCACAAGCGGUGGAGCAUGUGGUUUAAUUCGAUGCAACGCGAAGAACCUUACCUGGUCUUGACAUCCACAGAAUCUUUCAGAGAUGAGGGAGUGCCUUCGGGAACUGUGAGACAGGUGCUGCAUGGCUGUCGUCAGCUCGUGUUGUGAAAUGUUGGGUUAAGUCCCGCAACGAGCGCAACCCUUAUCCUUUGUUGCCAGCGAUUAGGUCGGGAACUCAAAGGAGACUGCCGUUGAUAAAACGGAGGAAGGUGGGGACGACGUCAAGUCAUCAUGGCCCUUACGACCAGGGCUACACACGUGCUACAAUGGCGUAUACAAAGGGAAGCGAAGGUGCGAGCUGGAGCGGACCUCCUAAAGUACGUCUAAGUCCGGAUUGGAGUCUGCAACUCGACUCCAUGAAGUCGGAAUCGCUAGUAAUCGUGAAUCAGAAUGUCACGGUGAAUACGUUCCCGGGCUU